Molecule: unclassified non-coding RNA, 338 nt
Filed under: soil metagenome
Description: partial contains 5.8S ribosomal RNA, internal transcribed spacer 2, and large subunit ribosomal RNA
Rfam family: 5.8S ribosomal RNA (bases 1-120)
Source: RNAcentral
GAUGAAGAACGCAGUGAAAUGCGAUACGUAGUGUGAAUUGCAGAAUUCAGUGAAUCAUCGAAUCUUUGAACGCACAUUGCACCUCUCGGUAUUCCGGGAGGUAUGCCUGUUCGAGCGUCAUUUGUACCCUCAAGCUCUGCUUGGUGUUGGGUGUUUGUUCCGCCUCUGUGUGUGAACUCGCCUCAAAACAAUUGGCAGCCGGCGUACUUGUUUCGGAGCGCAGCACAUUUUGCGAUCCAGAUCAACGUACAGCGGCAUCCAAGAAGCCUUAUUUAACGCUCUUGACCUCGGAUCAGGUAGGGAUACCCGCUGAACUUAAGCAUAUCAAUAAGGGAGGA